Molecule: ribosomal RNA, 492 nt
Filed under: uncultured bacterium
Lineage: Bacteria
Description: partial 16S ribosomal RNA
Rfam family: Bacterial small subunit ribosomal RNA
Source: RNAcentral
GAUGAACGCUAGCUACAGGCUUAACACAUGCAAGUCGAGGGGAAACGGCAUCGAAAGCUUGCUUUUGAUGGGAGUCGACCGGCGCACGGGUGAGUAACGCGUAUCCAACCUGCCCAUCACUUGGGAAUAACCUUGCGAAAGUAAGACUAAUGCCCAAUUCCAUCCCACGAAGGCAUCCGAAUGGGACUCAAGAUUUAUCGGUGAUGGAUGGGGAUGCGUCUGAUUAGCUUGUUGGCGGGGUGACGGCCCACCAAGGCAACGAUCAGUAGGGGUUCUGAGAGAAAGGUCCCCCACAUUGGAACUGAGACACGGUCCAAACUCCUACGGGAGGCAGCAGUGAGGAAUAUUGGUCAAUGGGCGAGAGCCUGAACCAGCCAAGUAGCGUGCAGGAUGACGGCCCUAGGGGUUGUAAACUGCUUUUAUAAGGGAAUAAGGUGGGUCACGUGUGACUUUUUGCAUGUACCUUAUGAAUAAGGACCGGCUAAUUCCGUG